AAAAAGGGCUUCUGUCAUGUAUGACACAUGGAGUGGGGUGGCUGCGGCUUUCCUUACUUCGUGCGGAAUCGACAUCAAGAGAUUUCGGAAGCACAAUUUUUGCUCCUGGGGCUGCUGGUAAUCGUUGGUUCCGGCGCCCCG
This is a small nuclear RNA of Pelodiscus sinensis (Chinese soft-shelled turtle), 141 nucleotides long. Ensembl annotates it as U11 spliceosomal RNA. The record is from Ensembl. NCBI's taxonomy places the organism in Eukaryota, Metazoa, Chordata, Testudines, Trionychidae.